UGAACGCUGGCGGCGUGCCUAAUACAUGCAAGUCGAGCGAUGAGGCCUUACGGGGCACCUUCGGGUGCUUGUCGGAGGUACAUCAGCGGCGAACGGGUGAGUAACACGUAGGCGACCUGCCCCGAAGACAGGGAUAACCACUGGAAACGGUGGCUAAUACCCGAUGUGCUCGGCGAUUCGGUUCGUCGAGUAAAAGCUCCGGCGCUUCGGGAGGGGCCUGCGGCUUAUCAGCUAGUUGGUAGGGUAAUGGCCUACCAAGGCGAAGACGAGUAGGGGGCGUGAGAGCGCGAUCCCCCACACUGGCACUGAGAUACGGGCCAGACUCCUACGGGAGGCAGCAGUCGGGGAUAUUGCACAAUCGGCGAAAGCCGGAUGCAGCGACGCCGCGUGGGCGAUGAAGGCCUUCGGGUUGUAAAGCCCUUUUAUGGGGGAAGAGACAAGGACGGUACCCCAAGAAUAAGUCCCGGCUAACUACGUGCCAGCAGCCGCGGUAAAACGUAGGGGACAAGCGUUAUCCGGAUUUACUGGGCGUAAAGAGCGUUGAGGCGGUUUCGUAAGUUGGGCGUGAAAGCCCCGGGCUUAACUCGGGGACGUCGUUCAAUACUGCGAAACUUGAGGGCAGCAGAGGGAGGUGGAAUUCCCGGAGUAGCGGUGAAAUGCGUAGAUAUCGGGAGGAACACCAGUGGCGAAGGCGGCCUCCUGGGCUGCUCCUGACGCUGAAGGCGAAAGCUAGGGGAGCAAACGGGAUUAGAAACCCCGGUAGUCCUAGCUGUAAACGAUGGGUGCUAGGUGUGGGGGGUAUAGACUCCCUCCGUGCCAAAGCUAACGCGUUAAGCAUCCCGCCUGGGGACUACGGCCGCAAGGCUAAAACUCAAACGAAUUGACGGGGGCCCGCACAAGCAGCGGAGCGUGUGGUUUAAUUCGAUGAUACACGAAGAACCUUACCUGGGCUUGACAUGCUGGUAGUAGUGAAGCGAAAGCGGAACGACCCUUCGGGGAGCCUGCACAGGUGCUGCAUGGCUGUCGUCAGCUCGUGCCGUGAAGUGCCGGGUUAAGUCCCGUAACGAGCGCAACCCUCGCCCUUAGUUAUAUGUGUCUAAGGGAACUGCCCGGGACAACUGGGAGGAAGGUGGGGAUGACGUCAAGUCAGCAUGGCCCUUAUGUCCAGGGCUACACACACGCUACAAUGGCCGGUACAAUGGGUUGCCAAGCCGUGAGGCGGAGCCAAUCCUCCAAAGUCGGUCUCAGUUCGAAUUGCAGGCUGCAACUCGCCUGCAUGAAGCUGGAGUUGCUAGUAACCGCGCGUCAGCUAUAGCGCGGUGAAUAUGUUCCCGGGCCUUGUACACACCGCCCGUCACGUCAUGGAAGCUGGCAAUACCUGAAGCCGGUAGGCCAACCCGCAAGGGAGGCAGCCGUCGAAGGUAGGGCCGGUGACUGGGACGAAGUCGUAACAAGGUA
RNAcentral lists this ribosomal RNA (1458 nucleotides) under metagenome. RNAcentral describes it as "bacterial SSU rRNA". It matches the Rfam family "Bacterial small subunit ribosomal RNA". The record is from RNAcentral.